ACGUAGGUGGCAAGCGUUGUCCGGAUUUACUGGGUGUAAAGGGCGCGUAGGCGGGACAGCAAGUCAGAUGUGAAAUGCCAGGGCUUAACCCUGGAGCUGCAUUUGAAACUGUUGUUCUUGAGUGAUGGAGAGGCAAGUGGAAUUCCUAGUGUAGCGGUGAAAUGCGUAGAUAUUAGGAGGAACACCAGUGGCGAAGGCGGCUUGCUGGACAUUAACUGACGCUGAUGCGCGAAAGCGUGGGGAGCAAACAG
RNAcentral lists this ribosomal RNA (251 nucleotides) under uncultured prokaryote. RNAcentral describes it as "partial 16S rRNA". It matches the Rfam family "Bacterial small subunit ribosomal RNA", at positions 525 to 775 of the family's 1533-position model. The record is from RNAcentral.